UUUGAUCCUGGCUCAGGACGAACGCUGGCGGCGCGCCUAACACAUGCAAGUCGAACGAGCGAGAGAGAGCUUGCCUUCUCGAGCGAGUGGCGAACGGGUGAGUAACGCGUGAGGAACCUGCCUCAAAGAGGGGGACAACAGUUGGAAACGACUGCUAAUACCGCAUAAGCCCACGGCUCGGCAUCGAGCAGAGGGAAAAGGAGCAAUCCGCUUUGAGAUGGCCUCGCGUCCGAUUAGCUAGUUGGUGAGGUAAUGGCCCACCAAGGCGACGAUCGGUAGCCGGACUGAGAGGUUGAACGGCCACAUUGGGACUGAGACACGGCCCAGACUCCUACGGGAGGCAGCAGUGGGGAAUAUUGCACAAUGGGGGAAACCCUGAUGCAGCGACGCCGCGUGGAGGAAGAAGGUCUUCGGAUUGUAAACUCCUGUUGUUGAGGAAGAUAAUGACGGUACUCAACAAGGAAGUGACGGCUAACUACGUGCCAGCAGCCGCGGUAAAACGUAGGUCACAAGCGUUGUCCGGAAUUACUGGGUGUAAAGGGAGCGCAGGCGGGAAGACAAGUUGGAAGUGAAAUCCAUGGGCUCAACCCAUGAACUGCUUUCAAAACUGUUUUUCUUGAGUAGUGCAGAGGUAGGCGGAAUUCCCGGUGUAGCGGUGGAAUGCGUAGAUAUCGGGAGGAACACCAGUGGCGAAGGCGGCCUACUGGGCACCAACUGACGCUGAGGCUCGAAAGUGUGGGUAGCAAACAGGAUUAGAUACCCUGGUAGUCCACACUGUAAACGAUGAUUACUAGGUGUUGGAGGAUUGACCCCUUCAGUGCCGCAGUUAACACAAUAAGUAAUCCACCUGGGGAGUACGACCGCAAGGUUGAAACUCAAAGGAAUUGACG
RNAcentral lists this ribosomal RNA (890 nucleotides) under uncultured bacterium. RNAcentral describes it as "bacterial SSU rRNA". It matches the Rfam family "Bacterial small subunit ribosomal RNA", at positions 12 to 915 of the family's 1533-position model. The record is from RNAcentral.